This 245-nucleotide unclassified non-coding RNA is filed under the name Glomeromycetes sp. RNAcentral's name for it is "partial internal transcribed spacer 2". Lineage: Eukaryota; Fungi; Glomeromycota; Glomeromycetes. The record is from RNAcentral.
GUGAAUCAUCGAAUCUUUGAACGCAAAUUGCACUCUCCGCGAAGAGUAGGCCUAUUUGAGGUUCAGCCUAUAAAAAAUCUACAUCGUUGCUUUUUCGCGGUGGCGUUGGUCGGAAAAUGGGUCAUCUUAAAUCUUUUGGUUUUAAGCGACUUGAGAUUUUCUUUUUGGUUCCAUGAACUUUUCUAAGAUUUAUUUCUUUACACGUUUAUGGGAUAGAUUUUUAUUAGACGUGUGAAUCAUAUCGA